Molecule: transfer RNA, 73 nt
Filed under: Danio rerio (zebrafish)
Lineage: Eukaryota; Metazoa; Chordata; Actinopteri; Cypriniformes; Danionidae
Description: tRNA-Tyr (GTA) (tRNA-Tyr-GTA-18 1 to 5)
Rfam family: tRNA
About the family: Transfer RNA (tRNA) molecules are approximately 80 nucleotides in length.
Source: RNAcentral
CCUUCGAUAGCUCAGUUGGUAGAGCGGAGGACUGUAGAUCCUUAGGUCGCUGGUUGGACUCCGGCUCGAAGGA